UGCUGCAGUUAAAAAGCUCGUAGUUGAAAUUCUGCUCCGGCAGGCAAGUAUCCUUUAGGAUUCCUGUCACCGGGCAUCAGUCUGCAAUCUUUUUCACGGCAUUUACUUGUCGGGCUAGGGAGCAGACGUUUUACCUUGAGAAAAUUAGAGUGUUCCAGGCAGGCUUCAGCCCGAAUACAUUAGCAUGGAAUAAUAGAAUAGGACUAGAGACUAUUUAUUGGUUUGAGGCUCUAGUAAUGAUUAAUAGGAACAGUCGGGGGCAUUAGUACUUAACAGUCAGAGGUGAAAUUCUAGGAUUUGUUAAAGACUAACUAAUGCGAAAGCAUUUGCCAAGCAUGUUUUCAUUAAUCAAGAACGAAAGUUAGGGGAUCAAAGACGAUCAGAUACCGUCGUAGUCUUAACUAUAAACUAUACCGACUCGGAAUUGGGCAAUUUAUUAUAGAUUGCUCAGCGCCGUAAGAGAAAUCAAAGUCUUUGGGUUCUUGGUGGAGUACGAUCGCAAGAUUGAAACUUAAAGGAAUUGACGGUUUUGCACCACCAUGGAGUGGAGCCUGCGGCUUAAUUUGACUCAACACGAGAAAACUUAUCAGGGUAAAAAGGUAUUGGGAUUGACAGAUUGAGAGUUCU
Molecule: ribosomal RNA, 627 nt
Filed under: uncultured eukaryote
Lineage: Eukaryota
Description: SSU rRNA
Rfam family: Eukaryotic small subunit ribosomal RNA
Source: RNAcentral